This is a non-coding RNA of Paramuricea clavata, 206 nucleotides long. Lineage: Eukaryota; Metazoa; Cnidaria; Anthozoa; Malacalcyonacea; Plexauridae. The record is from the annotation of a GenBank genome assembly.
GCAUGAGAAAGAUAAAGUCUGCCUCGCCUGGGUCUUGAACCCGCGACCUUCGAAUAUCGCUGGACGGUCUCACGCCUUCGUCGUGAGGUUCGCCCCCCCCCGUUUUGCAACAACGGACAGGUUCCAUAGCCCCAGCAAGUUAACGCUUUUUCGAGCGUCUUGUUGUGUACUAAGAUUGUUUCUAAUAUAGUAAUGUCAAGUAGCCG